RNA transcript from Lutra lutra (Eurasian river otter), 3895 nucleotides. It is a transcript of the gene named TATA-box binding protein associated factor, RNA polymerase I subunit D, with no coding region annotated. The record is from RefSeq and is a predicted model, not a curated record. Lineage: Eukaryota; Metazoa; Chordata; Mammalia; Carnivora; Mustelidae. The transcript is spliced from 10 exons.
CCUUUCAUUCCGCGAGGUUGUGGAGGUGAGCUGAGGUUUGGCGUGGCCGAAUGCAGACCUCCAAGGCCUGCGUUGCGGGGUGCGAGUACGCCGCAGAGGCCCUUCGUGGGCCGGCAGUUUUGGUACAAGCCAUUUGCCAACCUGGGUGGGUAGGAAUAAGGUAGGACUCUUGGGCCUGGUGAGCAGGAGGAGCUGGCUUUUCCCGGGAUCCCCGCAUUGCUCGGGAGGCUCGAGCCGCGGAAAGCAGGCCCCGAGGGCGGAGGGCUUCGUGGCUGCACUGUGUGGCCCGCACGGACGCGUUCAUGGGCGUGCGGCCUUGUGUCUGGAUGCAGAUGUUAAAAUUAGGCGUUAUGGACAAGUACACGUUUUGUGAUUUUUCGUGAGUGCGAGGUGAGCAUUUCUGAGCCUUCCGUGCAGGAGGUGAGGUAAGCUGAUUCCUGGAGACACUCGCCCCAAGGUCAGGCAUAGGAAGAGGUUGGAGGGAUUGUUAGCACUGCGAAAGCGCGCCGCCUCUCCGCCGGAUCUUUGGAUAUAGCAAGUACGCUGGUUAGCACGGUUUUCUGCACGGUUUCCGGAAAAGCGGUUUUUUGAGUUAACUCCACUGUGCUGUAAUAAUGUGCUGAUAUUUGAAAGACAGACCUAACCUCUUGGUAUAACAGCAGUGCCGUUGGGCCCAAUUUUUGCUAAAUUUCGUUUUUGAGCAGUUAUUUCUGAAUACUUAGGUUUUCGUGUUUAAAAAAAACAGAACAUACUGUGAAAUUACCACAGUCCAUCGGACAUUUUGCAGAUCUCUUAAGAUCUUCCUGAUCUUUAUGAUGUCUUGUAUUUGAUCUAUUUUGUCAUUUUAUCCUAGGAUUGCUUUCUUUACUACUCUGUUGUCAUUCUCAAGUAUACUAAAGACAACGCUAAAACGGAAGAAUGUUGGUACCCCUGUAAGGGAGAUGAAGUAGUAAAAUAGACCUUUCUCCUUUUUUGCCCACUAUUGUCAGAUUUUCCAAUGAGAUUAUAAAAAGACAAAGGGCACCAUUGUGUGGUCUGUUAGCUUUUCAUUGAAAAGUGAGAAUUCAUAACUUGUUAGUUGGUACUCAUAAUGGCAAGGAGGUAAUAUGCCAAGGAAGAGGUUUCAGAGUGACUUUGAUGAAUGAGAAGAGGCUGUAAAUGGAAAUCCAGUAGUUUGGAUUGAUCUAGUAAAUGCUGAUUAUUUCUCCUGAUACAAUGAAGCAACACUGCCUUCUGACUUUGUAGAAGUUUUUCCAAGGAGUUCCCAUCGGCUCUUGAAAAAUGGCUUUUGGCCAUUAAUUGUAUGUGAAUACUAUUAAUUGUAUAUUACGUAGUUAGUACAAUUACAUUUUGUAUCAUGGGAUGAUGUUUAAUCCUUUUUUUUUUGGAAAUGACAGUACUGUUCUGGAAUCUUACUCCACUGGAUAGAUUGAGAAGACAACUGAAAAAUGGAAAUUGGGAAUUCAGUUUCUAGAUUUUAGAAUUUGAUUUGAAAUGGAUGAUUCUUACAUAAAAAUCCUUAAGGGCCUAGUAUAUGAUUUUUGCCUUGAUUUAUAUAAAAUGUGACAUAAUCUGACCACAUCCAAUUUUGUAUUACUGGGAUACUAGCUCUGUGGGCAUUGUUCAGAGAAACUACAUCACGUUUACUGAAUUGUCAGAAUUCUGAAGCAAAUUACAAGUGGUGAAUAAACAAUUUGGAGAAGGACUUGGGAGAGUAUGUAACGGGAGUGAAUUUUCUCAACUCUGUAAUGGCAUCUAAUUCAGCUGUGGAAAUUGACAGUGAAAGUGAUAGCUCUUCUUCUGGUAGCAGCUUAUUUAAAACUCAGUGUGUCCCUUACUCACCUAAAAGGGUGCAAAGAAACCGUACUAGAAAGUUUGUUCAUUCAGCUAAAGUUGCUCAAGCAAGGGAUUCAUCUAGUGACUCAUCUUUUGAACCAAGACCAUUGACUUUAAAAGCUAUUUUUGAGAGAUUCAAAAAAAGAAAACGUAAAAAGAAGAAAUACAAACCAACAGGAAGACCAAGAGGAAGACCAACCGGGAGAAAAAACAGUAGACGUUCCCAGAUAAAUAAGAAACAAGUUCAAGACAAAGGAUCUGGGUUCCCAUUUUUAGAAUCCGAGAAUGCAAGAAAACCAUUACCUUGGAGAAAAAUUUUAACCUUUGAGCAAGCAGUGGCAAGAGGAUUUUUCAACUACCUUGAAAAACUGAAGUAUGAAUACUACCUCAAGGAAUCCUUGAAACAAAUGAAUGUUAGUGAAGAUUUAGAAAAAGAAGAUUUUGACAGUCGUAGAUACAAAUACUUGGAUGAUGAUGGAGCUCUCUCGCCUAUUGAAGAGUCAGAAACAGAGGAUGGGUCUGCAACAAAUCUUGAACAAAAUGACAAAUGUGAUAUCAAAUUGGUGGACCAUAAUGAUUUCAUUAUAAGUUCUCAAGUACCAAAGAUGAAGAAUGUGUAUUUAGAACAAGAGGAAUGUACUGAAGAAGCUGCUUUGUCUAAAAAGAGAGCAUCAAAGUCUAAAAACAUUGGACAGAGGAUAGAAUGGUCUGAAAAGAGAUAGGAAUAUGAAUGUUAAAUAGAAGAGAGAAAACAGCUUUUCAUAGAAAGUAAAGAUGAUAAAUACAAAUACAUAUGUUGGUGUAGUGAUAAAAGAGAACCUGCUAAGGAGAGAAGAAAAUCUGAACAAGUUAGUGAAACUCCUAAAGAAUUACUAGAAAAAAUACUUUAAAACACAGUGAAAUUAUCACAGAAAAUUGAGGCUUGCAUAGCAGAAAUAAUCACUUGAGAAGUCAUAAACAGAAGAUCCAUUUUGCCUAUACUUGUUCAUUUCAGGGCUUUUCACUUGAACACAAUGUCUGGAUUUAAAGGUACAUCUUACGCUUUAGGUAUUGGUGUAUCCCAACAAUCUGUACAGUUCUAGGGUGAUAGUUUAGGGGUUAAUAUGAUUUGAACUCAUUCACGUUUAGAGGUAGGUGGAAAAUCCAAUUUUUGUUGAAAUUUAUUAAGGAUCCAAAAGUUCUGAAAAGUAAGUUGUGAGGUCAGCAUAUUGUUGUGUGCAGUAGUUAUUUGGGUAUGCAACACAAGUAUCAAGAUCUUGGUAGAAAUAUUUGCCACAAUACUUGACAAACUGAAGAGACUGCAUGUCUAGGGAGUAACAUGAAAAUGCCCUCUUCUGUAUCUUUAUUAAACAGUUCCUAUGGUUCAUCCUAAUAACAUAUUUGGAUAUAUUACAACAGAGAUAUUGAGGGUUUUUUUUUUUUUUUUUUUUUUAAGGAAUUCUACUUAAUAAUAGCAACUAAUUUUGAUUUCUAAUGCAUCAUUUCUUUUAGUGAUUUGACUUAACAGUUCUGUAUGUGCAUUAUACAGGGACAGGAAAGGUAAUCAGGACUAGGUGUAGUUGUCUUAUUGGAAUGACAAUUAGGAAUAAAGGUCUAGUUACAUAUUACAAGAACUUAAAUUUGUAGAGAGACGUUUCUCAGGAAGUAGCAUUGUAGCCUAGAGGUAGAGGGGUUUAUGUAUCUGGCAGGAUCGCACUGCAUGGUAUCUGCCCUCAGCAGCUCAUUCCUGCUGAGUGUUCAAAGGACAGUGCCAUAGAAACUCAGUAUCUGGCAUCGUUGGUUUUCUUGGCUUCGUGCAUGUUAAACCUGGUAUUUUUAUUGAAACAGUAUUCUUACAGUUUUUCAUACUGUUCAGCUUGAGAUAAUUUUCAAGAGGAAGUAAUGCUUCUCUUUUUCUAGGAUGUUUGAAAUUGAGAACCAGGCAGAUCCACACUCAGACCCUAAACAGGGCCCUGAAGUAAAGACAUUGGAUACCAAAGAUUACAGGUGGGGAGUUCUUAAAGUAUGUCCAUAUUCAAAUGGAGAAGCAAGAAACCCAGCUGAAAGAACUCUGGCAAGU